UGGGGAAUUUUGGACAAUGGGCGAAAGCCUGAUCCAGCCAUGCCGCGUGCAGGAUGAAGGCCUUCGGGUUGUAAACUGCUUUUGNACGGAACGAAAAGACUCUGGUUAAUACCUGGGGUCCAUGACGGUACCGUAAGAAUAAGCACCGGCUAACUACGUGCCAGCAGCCGCGGUAAUACGUAGGGUGCAAGCGUUAAUCGGAAUUACUGGGCGUAAAGCGUGCGCAGGCGGUUAUAUAAGACAGAUGUGAAAUCCCCGGGCUCAACCUGGGAACUGCAUUUGUGACUGUAUAGCUAGAGUACGGCAGAGGGGGAUGGAACUCCGCGUGUAGCAGUGAAAUGCGUAGAUAUGCGGAGGAACACCGAUGGCGAAGGCAAUCCCCUGGCCUGUACUGACGCUCAUGCACGAAAGCGUGGGGAGCAAACAGGAUUAGAUACCCUGGUAGUCCACGCCCUAAACGAUGUCAACUGGGUUGUUGGGNCUUCACUGACUCAGUAACGAAGCUAACGCGUGAAGUUGACCGCCUGGGGAGUACGGCCGCAAGGUUGAAACUUAAAGGAA
RNAcentral lists this ribosomal RNA (561 nucleotides) under uncultured bacterium. Its description in RNAcentral is "partial 16S ribosomal RNA". It matches the Rfam family "Bacterial small subunit ribosomal RNA", at positions 355 to 909 of the family's 1533-position model. The record is from RNAcentral.